Molecule: small nuclear RNA, 66 nt
Filed under: Fukomys damarensis (Damara mole-rat)
Lineage: Eukaryota; Metazoa; Chordata; Mammalia; Rodentia; Bathyergidae
Description: U2 spliceosomal RNA
Source: Rfam by way of RNAcentral
AUCGCUUCUCGGCCUUUUGGCUAAGAUCAAGUGUAGUAAAUAUUAAUCUCUUCUAAACCAUCCUCC